This 499-nucleotide ribosomal RNA is filed under the name uncultured Neisseriales bacterium. Its description in RNAcentral is "bacterial SSU rRNA". It matches the Rfam family "Bacterial small subunit ribosomal RNA", at positions 903 to 1401 of the family's 1533-position model. The record is from RNAcentral. Lineage: Bacteria; Pseudomonadati; Pseudomonadota; Betaproteobacteria; Neisseriales.
AAAGGAAUUGACGGGGGCCCGCACAAGCGGUGGAUGAUGUGGAUUAAUUCGAUGCAACGCGAAAAACCUUACCUGGUCUUGACAUGUAGCGAAUCCUGCAGAGAUGCAGGAGUGCCCGAAAGGGAGCGCUAACACAGGUGCUGCAUGGCUGUCGUCAGCUCGUGUCGUGAGAUGUUGGGUUAAGUCCCGCAACGAGCGCAACCCUUGCCAUUAGUUGCCAUCAUUAAGUUGGGCACUUUAAUGGGACUGCCGGUGACAAACCGGAGGAAGGUGGGGAUGACGUCAAGUCCUCAUGGCCCUUAUGACCAGGGCUUCACACGUCAUACAAUGGUCGGUACAGAGGGUUGCCAACCCGCGAGGCGGAGCUAAUCUCAUAAAACCGAUCGUAGUCCGGAUCGCAGUCUGCAACUCGUCUGCGUGAAGUCGGAAUCGCUAGUAAUCGCGGAUCAGCAUGUCGCGGUGAAUACGUUCCCGGGCCUUGUACACACCGCCCGUCACA